This 253-nucleotide ribosomal RNA is filed under the name uncultured bacterium. RNAcentral's name for it is "partial 16S ribosomal RNA". It matches the Rfam family "Bacterial small subunit ribosomal RNA", at positions 524 to 776 of the family's 1533-position model. The record is from RNAcentral.
UACAGAGGGUGCAAGCGUUAAUCGGAAUUACUGGGCGUAAAGGGCGCGUAGGUGGAGACUUAAGUCAGUUGUGAAAUACCCGAGCUUAACUUGGGCAGGUCAUCUGAAACUGGGUCACUAGAGUACAGUAGAGGGUAGUGGAAUUUCCGGAGUAGCGGUGAAAUGCGUAGAUAUCGGAAGGAACACCAGUGGCGAAGGCGGCUACCUGGACUGAUACUGACACUGAGGCGCGAAAGCGUGGGGAGCAAACAGG